AGAGUGGCGAACCGGUGAGUAAUGCGUGACCGACCUGCCCCAUACACCGGAAUAGCUCCUGGAAACGGGUGGUAAUGCCGGAUGCUCCAGUUGAUCGCAUGGUCUUCUGGGAAAGCUUUCGCGGUAUGGGAUGGGGUCGCGUCCUAUCAGCUUGACGGCGGGGUAACGGCCCACCGUGGCUUCGACGGGUAGCCGGCCUGAGAGGGCGACCGGCCACAUUGGGACUGAGAUACGGCCCAGACUCCUACGGGAGGCAGCAUG
This 261-nucleotide ribosomal RNA is filed under the name uncultured bacterium. Its description in RNAcentral is "partial 16S ribosomal RNA". It matches the Rfam family "Bacterial small subunit ribosomal RNA", at positions 92 to 353 of the family's 1533-position model. The record is from RNAcentral.